Molecule: ribosomal RNA, 265 nt
Filed under: uncultured archaeon
Lineage: Archaea
Description: partial 16S ribosomal RNA
Rfam family: Archaeal small subunit ribosomal RNA
Source: RNAcentral
ACACGACUACAUUAGAUACCCGCGUAGUCCUAGCCGUAAACGAUUACUCGCUAGGUGUCGGCCACGGUGCGACCGUUGUCGGUGCCGUAGGGAAGCCGUGAAGCGAGCCACCUGGGAAGUACGGCCGCAAGGCUGAAACUUAAAGGAAUUGGCGGGGAGCACCACAACGGGUGGAGCUUGCGGUUUAAUUGGAUUCAACGCCGGAAAUCUUACCGGGACCGACAGCAACAUGAAGGCCAGGCUGAAGACUUUGCCGGAUUAGCUG